AAAGGCGAUCUAUUAAUUAAGGUAUAACUCUUAGGAAGGUUUGGCACCUCAAUGUCGGUUAUUUGCCAUAUGGGGUUGUAGUAUGCUCCAAGGGUUGGGUUAUUCGCCCAUUAAAGUGAUAUGUG
Lupinus albus (white lupine) is the source of this 125-nucleotide non-coding RNA. The record is from the annotation of a GenBank genome assembly. Lineage: Eukaryota; Viridiplantae; Streptophyta; Magnoliopsida; Fabales; Fabaceae.